This 775-nucleotide ribosomal RNA is filed under the name uncultured Neocallimastigales. RNAcentral describes it as "partial large subunit ribosomal RNA". It matches the Rfam family "Eukaryotic large subunit ribosomal RNA", at positions 24 to 644 of the family's 3401-position model. The record is from RNAcentral. Lineage: Eukaryota; Fungi; Neocallimastigomycota; Neocallimastigomycetes; Neocallimastigales.
GUAGUCUCGCACAGAUGCAUAUCAAUAAGCGGAGGAAAAGAAACUAACAAGGAUUCCCCUAGUAACGGCGAGUGAAGCGGGAAGAGCUCAAAUUUGAAAUCUUAAAGGGUUUCCCUUUACGAAUUGUAGUUUAAAGAAGUGUUUUCUGUUGAGGUUUUGGUAAAAGUUCUUUGGAAUAGGACAUCAUAGAGGGUGAGAAUCCCGUAUUUGACCUUUACUUUCAACUUUGUGAUACACUUUCAAAGAGUCGGAUUGUUUGGGAAUGCAGUCCAAAAUGGGUGGUAAAUUUCAUCUAAAGCUAAAUAUUGGCGAGAGACCGAUAGCGAACAAGUACCGUGAGGGAAAGAUGAAAAGAACUUUGAAAAGAGAGUUAAACAGUACGUGAAAUUGUCAAAAGGGAAGCGUUUGGACACCAGUGUUGUUUUUCUGAAAAUCAAUUAAAGAACUGUUUAUGCUAAGCUGUUUAGACUUUAUCAGCUAACUGUUUAGUUUUGAGCUUUUCUUUAAUGCACUUUUCAGUUAACAAGUCAACAUCAAUUUCUUUUGCUGUAAAAAAGCUUGAGGAAGGUGGCUUGAGAUUCGUCUUAAGUGUUUAUAGCCUCUUGCCUAUGCAGUCGGAGAGAUUGAGGUCUGCAGCGUAGAUCCUUCGGGGCUAAAUGCAUUUGUGCUAAGUUAUAGCAUUUUAUAGACAACUUGUUGACUAUGAUUUGUCUUGUAGCUUACUCGCUUAUGUUAUUUUACCUACGCUUAGGAUGUUGAACUACUGAGACAUAGA